AGGACGAACGCUGGCGGCGUGCCUAACACAUGCAAGUCGAACGAGGUCCAACCGGUAGCAAUACUGGUGAAGACCAAGUGGCGAACGGGUGAGUAGCACGUGAGCAACCUGCCCCGAAGACCGGGACAACACCGGGAAACCGGUGCUAAUACCGGAUAUCCCCACCGAGUCGCAUGGCUUGGUGAGGAAAUGGAUUCCGCUUCGGGAGGGGCUCGCGGCCUAUCAGCUAGUUGGUGAGGUAACGGCUCACCAAGGCUUCGACGGGUAGCUGGUCUGAGAGGACGAUCAGCCACACUGGGACUGAGACACGGCCCAGACUCCUACGGGAGGCAGCAGUGGGGAAUCUUGCACAAUGGGCGAAAGCCUGAUGCAGCAACGCCGCGUGAGGGACGAAGGCUUUCUGAGUUGUAAACCUCUUUCAGCAGGGACGAUUGUGACGGUACCUGCAGAAGAAGCCCGGCAACUACGUGCCAGCAGCCGC
RNAcentral lists this ribosomal RNA (481 nucleotides) under uncultured bacterium. Its description in RNAcentral is "SSU rRNA". It matches the Rfam family "Bacterial small subunit ribosomal RNA", at positions 26 to 518 of the family's 1533-position model. The record is from RNAcentral.